GACGAACGCUGGCGGCGCGCCUAACACAUGCAAGUCGAGCGAUGAAAUUUUAACCGAUCUCUUCGGAGAGAAGAUAAAAUGGAUUAGCGGCGGACGGGUGAGUAACACGUGAGAAACCUGCCUUUCACAAGGGGAUAGCCUCGGGAAACCGGGAUUAAUACCCUAUGACACAUUUCCUUCGCAUGGAAGAAAUGUUAAAACUCCGGUGGUGAAAGAUGGUCUCGCGCCUGAUUAGCUAGUUGGUGGGGUAACGGCCCACCAAGGCCAUGAUCAGUAACCGGCCUGAGAGGGUGAACGGUCACAUGGGAACUGAGACACGGUCCAAACUCCUACGGGAGGCAGCAGUGGGGAAUAUUGCACAAUGGAGGAAACUCUGAUGCAGCGACGCCGCGUGAGCGAUGAAGGCUUUCGAGUCGUAAAGCUCUGUCCUAUGGGAAGAUAAUGACGGUACCAUAGGAGGAAGCCCCGGCUAACUACGUG
RNAcentral lists this ribosomal RNA (480 nucleotides) under uncultured bacterium. Its description in RNAcentral is "partial 16S ribosomal RNA". It matches the Rfam family "Bacterial small subunit ribosomal RNA", at positions 28 to 507 of the family's 1533-position model. The record is from RNAcentral.